This 2444-nucleotide long non-coding RNA is filed under the name Zea mays. RNAcentral's name for it is "long non-coding RNA (ZMAY_LNC001349)". Lineage: Eukaryota; Viridiplantae; Streptophyta; Magnoliopsida; Poales; Poaceae. The record is from RNAcentral.
CAACACCGCCUCCUCCACCUCGAACUCCUCGCAGUCGGAGCUCCUCAGCGUAAGCAUCUUCUUCUCAGCCAUUGGUGUUGCUGAAUGCUAGUAAUGCUGGUGCGACGACAGGACGACUAAAUCCUAGCACGAAUCGAAUCGUAGCUACCUACGUCUACGUGCGGCGCGCGGCAGGAUGAUUGGGAGGGAACGAGGCAAGGCCCUGACGACGGGACCUCUCCUUUUUAUAAAAAAAAUCCUGGAUGAUUUGGAACGAGGAAAACGGACGAAAGGCCGUUUAGCCCGUCCACAAUGUACGGGAACGGGAGUCUGUUUUGUUGCAACGGCCGCCUGUUUUGUUGCAACGGCCGCUGUCCUGCACUCCUGCUCAAGGUGCAGAGGACGGUGAAGGGGAUGCGGUGGAAGACGCUGCUAGCAAACCAUGAGGACGGCCCCAACGUGCCUGAGAAGGUGCUCUUCGCUGUCAAGCGGUACUGGACAGCCGCCGGCGAAGGCACGGCAGCAGAGGAGAAGACGCCGGGCAGCUCUUCAGUAGCAGGUGAUGGAGGUGGACGGCUGGCUGCUUUCAGUUUGUGUCGCCUUUUUCAGAACGCUUGAUAGAAGUGAGGAUUUAUGUUUAGAGCGUAGAAGAUCUAGAAUUUCAGAUGCUUUGGGUUUUUGCAAUUUUGCAGUAGUUUAUUUCCUUUUCUUCUAUAUUAAUAUUAUCUAUUAACCAUAAAGAAGGCCAAGUUUCUUUCGGUUUAUUUUUUUUGUCCACUGGUCUCUAAAUAUAUAGAUAGAACAUAGUUCUUUUUUGUUAUCACCUACUAGUAUAAUGUCCAUAAGUUGCGACGGCACACAAUCAUUUCAUAUCUUUACUACAAAAAGGCCGCCCCGCGUCACAUGUGAACUAUGUGAACUGUAUAUUCCUUUCAUACCAGCUGCAGUUACCCUAUAAAUAGGCGGUGAAAAUCACUUAAGUGAGAAAUCAUAUAAGCAUGCAUGCAUGCACAACAUUCAAUAUUAUGUAACACCUAAUAUUAGGUAAAUCAGUUUGCGAAGCCAAUGUCAAUCUAACACAUGAAAUGUCUCUUAUCACAAAUAUCGUAUUUUAUAUGCAUCAUAACCUGGGAUCCUGAAAGGAAACUAUCUACCAUCUUGGCAUUAAGGGCUACUUUAGGAACCUCAUAUCUCCUUCGGGAUUGGAGUGGAUUGAGGUGGAAAUGAACUAAUUUUCUCUCCAAUCCCCUUCAAUCCCGAAGGGGAUUAAAAAAGUUCGAAGCAAUACCUCAUGAGCUAGUCCGUCAACUUGUGCUCUCUCGCGGCGGCGAUGGCGGUGCGACGCUCCGGCUAGGCUGCCCUCGUUGUCCGGCGAAGUGCCCCCAGCCCUUGGCCAUGGGGGCCCCUCGGUUGGUUCUGGUCCAUCUGCCCUGGAUUUCUCCGACGGCCUUCGUUUUCAAGAUUGGAUUCUUCACAAGUUCAAUUGCCCAAUCAAUCUUCUUUCGGGUAAAUUUGACCGACAUGAGUUCUUUUUAGUCAUAUAUUUUGGUAGGUGUUCCUUGCGUCUGUGCGCAGAAUCAGUGGGCUUUCUUCUUCAAUCGUUCAUUGGUGGAUCAGCGGAUUUAUUUAGGGUUAUUCCUUUGUCGAACCGGGUUUUUCGCUUCUCGCUUUCCUGCAAGGAUGUUGGUUUUGCAGUUUAUAGACGUCGCUCUUAUGUCUGCUCCUCGUUCAAAGCGUACCUUCAUCUUUGGCAUUCUGGUGGCCCUAAUUGGAUCAAAGAAUGGCAGCUCUACUCUGAUGAAGAAUGGCAGCUCUACUCUGUCGAAGAGCGUCGCCGGCGCAACCUUGCCGAACUCCGCGUCCCACUUUUUGAGGUCGACCUCGCCGCCGCCCCCAGCUGAUGAGGCGUUGGUGGUCUCCGCGGCGUCGGCGGGCUUGGCGGCGUCGUGGACGUGCUUGUUGCAGUACUCGAUGACUAGGGCGAGAGUCUUGGAAUUGACGUUGGGGAGCGGGAUGACGUUGUCGGAGCAGUCGUCCUCGAUCAUGAAGCGAAUGAUCUCUGACUUCAUCAACACCGCCUCCUCCACCUCGAACUCCUCGCAGUCGGAGCUCCUCAGCGUAAGCAUCUUCUUCUCACCCAUUGGUGUUGCUGAAUGCUAGUAAUGCUGGUGCGACGACAGGACUAAAUCCUAGCACGAAUCGAAUCGUAGCUACCUACGUGCGGCGCGCGGCAGGAUGAUUGUGAGGGAACAAGGCAAGGCCAUGACCUGGCCGUGACGAGACCUCUCCUUUUUAUAAAGUCCUGGAACGAGGAAAACGAACUGAAGGUCGUUUAGCCCGUCCACAAUGUAUGGCCGCCUGUUUUGUUGCAACAGCCUGAAUAUCUAUCUGCUGUAUGGAUGAUUUGCAACGGCCGUCACCACAAUUGUAUUACGGAACCUGAAUAUCUAUCUGUUGUAUGGUAC